This 334-nucleotide long non-coding RNA is filed under the name Equus caballus (horse). RNAcentral's name for it is "lncRNA (ENSECAG00000044726.1)". The record is from RNAcentral. Lineage: Eukaryota; Metazoa; Chordata; Mammalia; Perissodactyla; Equidae.
CUUAUUGGUGCCCUGUCCCAAUUUUCCAUAAUUGGGAUGGUCACGGGGAUAGAGGAAGGUAGAAGGAAGACUGGAGACUUGCCUGAUGUUCCUGUGCGUGCCAAGUCUAUCUUAUAAUUAAGGAGAUAAUGCCCAGAUAACAAACCAAGGCUCAGAGAGGUGAAGCGGCUACCCAAGGCCACACAGCUGGUAAGUGGCAAAGAUCCCUCCUAGGCUUGCCUGAUGCCAACCCAGGGGCCCUGGCAUUUGACCAGCGGGAGAGGCAGCUUGGUAAGGGGGAAGGAGCGUGCCCUGGGCGAGUGGAGCCAGGUUUGAAUGCUGCCCUACCUCCGCC